Leptinotarsa decemlineata (Colorado potato beetle) is the source of this 605-nucleotide long non-coding RNA. NCBI's taxonomy places the organism in Eukaryota, Metazoa, Arthropoda, Insecta, Coleoptera, Chrysomelidae. The record is from RefSeq and is a predicted model, not a curated record.
ACAUACAUGUUCAACUACCAUUUAUUAAUCUAAUUAUGACGAAAUUUUUCAGACUAACACUCUAAUUACAACGUCAAACUAUUUAUUGAAAAUGCACAGCAAAUCAAGUCGUUAAAUCUGAUUCGCAUUUACGUUAACAGUAUCUAUAAAUAAUUCAUUGUUCUCAUUUCUUAGAUUUGAUUUUCUCACGAAAACACCAAAUAUCCAACAGCACAAAUAUCAUUAUAUUCAACUAAACACUGAGACAACCUACAUGUUGGUGAUGACACAAUUACAUCUUGAACUUUAGUCAAAAUUGUAGUUGCGCAACCAUAUUUUUCCCCGAGAUUAUUCCUCUGCAAAAUAUUUUGCCAACAAUUUCAGUAGUUCACAACAUCGACAGUAAAAAUAUCUUGGGUUUGGUGCAAUGAAAUAAUAGAUGAACAUGUAAUGGUUGAGGCAUGGCGGUUCAAAAAGAUGAAAGUUCAAAUUUCGCGGGCUUCACAGAACAUGUAAAUGACGGCGCUCCCCCUAGACGCCACAGGACAUCAACAACCGAUGAAAAUUAGUUCCCCAGGGAUUCACAUUGUCAGUAAAACACACGUAAUAUACAAGGAGCCUUCAAA